AGAGUUUGAUCCUGGCUCAGAACGNNNGCUGGCGGCAUGCUAACACAUGCAAGUCGAACGAGACCUUCGGGUCUAGUGGCGCACGGGUGCGUAACGCGUGGGAAUCUGCCCUUGCCGGAAUAACAGUUAGAAAUGACUGCUAAUACCGGAUGAUGACUUCGGUCCAAAGAUUUAUCGCCCAGGGAUGAGCCCGCGUCGGAUUAGCUAGUUGGUGGGGUAAAAGCUCACCAAGGCGACGAUCCGUAGCUGGCCUGAGAGGAUGAUCAGCCACACUGGGACUGAGACACGGCCCAGACUCCUACGGGAGGCAGCAGUGGGGAAUAUUGGACAAUGGGCGAAAGCCUGAUCCAGCAAUGCCGCGUGAGUGAUGAAGGCCUUAGGGUUGUAAAGCUCUUUUACCCGGGAAGAUAAUGACUGUACCGGGAGAAUAAGCCCCGGCUACUCCGUGCCAGCAGCCGCGGUAAUACGGAGGGGGCUAGCGUUGUUCGGAAUUACUGGGCGUAAAGCGCACGUAGGCGGCUUUGUAAGUUAGAGGUGAAAGCCCAGGGCUUAACCCUGGAAUUGCCUUUAAGACUGCAUCGCUAGAAUUGUGGAGAGGUAAGUGGAAUUCCGAGUGUAGAGGUGAAAUUCGUAGAUAUUCGGAAGAACACCAGUGGCGAAGGCGACUUACUGGACACAUAUUGCGCUGAGGNNCGAAAGCGUGGGGAGCAAACAGGAUUAGAUACCCUAGUAGUCC
Molecule: ribosomal RNA, 736 nt
Filed under: uncultured bacterium
Lineage: Bacteria
Description: bacterial SSU rRNA
Rfam family: Bacterial small subunit ribosomal RNA
Source: RNAcentral